This 775-nucleotide small RNA is filed under the name Malus domestica (apple). RNAcentral's name for it is "sRNA MD12G0150700". Lineage: Eukaryota; Viridiplantae; Streptophyta; Magnoliopsida; Rosales; Rosaceae. The record is from RNAcentral.
AUAUAUAUAACCUCAACUCUCUCACACUCUCAGAGAGUACAGCAACGGCAUGUCUUCCACACUCUCUCUCUCUCUCUCUUUAUUUAACUUCAACUCUCUCACACUCUAAGAGAGUACUGCAAUGGAUGAAGAGUUUGUUGCUUACUAUCUAGAUCGAAAAAUCAAUGGUCGCACCAUUGAGCUAGAAAUUAUCCCAGAGGUCGACCUCUACAAAUGUGAGCCGCGGGAUUUUCCUAAGAAAGCAACACGAAGAUGGACUUAGAAGAUUACAUUUUCAUCGAAGAGAUAAAAGAUGAUGUUUCUAUUAAAAUGGUAGACGAUGUCGUUUCCAUUGGAGGCAGAAGAUGAUGUUUUCAUUAAAGAGGUAGAAGAUAAUGUUUUAUUAAAUUUUGUAUCUUUCUUUGAUAUAUAAGGGAAAGUUUGUCAACGAAAAUGGAAGUUAAAAACUCAGAGAAUUUCUCAGAGGAUCAGUAAGAGCUUAUCUCCAAUGAAGCUAGCAUACAAAUAGCUCAUCAACUCAAUUGUACAGACUCGAUCCUGGCCUUUCAUUGAGGCUACCUAAACUACCCGUUGCAAUUAAAACAAAAACUAGCCGUUGGCUUCCUUGGUUGAUGAUGCUGUUGAUUCCGCUUCUUCCCGAGUCCAGAAACCAUUUAGGUCUCAACACUCUCCUUUAAAUUGUUUCUAGGUUUGACUUCAAGAAUACCGCUGAGGUAGAUGAACCUUUCCUUUGGCAGUCAGCCUCUUGAUCUUCAAUUCUGCGAUACAACUCAAU